UACGGGGGGGGCAAGCGUUGUUCGGAAUUACUGGGCGUAAAGGGCUCGUAGGUGGCCAACUAAGUCAGACGUGAAAUCCCCAGGCUUAACCUGGGAACUGCGUCUGAUACUGGAUGGCUUGAAUUCGGGAGAGGGAUGCAGAAUUCCAGGUGUAGCGGUGAAAUGCGUAGAUAUCUGGAGGAAUACCGGUGGCGAAGGCAGCUCGCUGGGACGGUACUGACACUGAGACGCGAAAGCGUGGGGAGCAAACAGG
This 253-nucleotide ribosomal RNA is filed under the name uncultured bacterium. RNAcentral's name for it is "partial 16S ribosomal RNA". It matches the Rfam family "Bacterial small subunit ribosomal RNA", at positions 524 to 776 of the family's 1533-position model. The record is from RNAcentral.